Molecule: transfer RNA, 480 nt
Filed under: uncultured Flavobacteriaceae bacterium
Lineage: Bacteria; Pseudomonadati; Bacteroidota; Flavobacteriia; Flavobacteriales; Flavobacteriaceae
Description: 16S-23S ribosomal RNA intergenic spacer
Rfam family: tRNA (bases 88-161)
Source: RNAcentral
AGAGAAAGACGACUGAAUUUGAAGAGAUUCAACAAAAAAUGUGUUUUACUUGUGCUGUCCAUCUUAUUUUAUAAUCUAUCAUGUUAGAGUCUCGUAGCUCAGCUGGUUAGAGCGCUACACUGAUAAUGUAGAGGUCGGCAGUUCUAGUCUGCCCGAGACUACUACUUUGAUUUAUAAUCAGAGGAUUAUUACAAAUGAUAGACUAAAUAACGGGAAUUUAGGGUUGAGAAACUAUAAAUCAACCUUCUAUAACCAGAACGGGGGAUUAGCUCAGCUGGCUAGAGCGCCUGCCUUGCACGCAGGAGGUCAUCGGUUCGACUCCGAUAUUCUCCACUACAGUUUUAUUUAAGCUGGAACGUUCAUUGACAUAUUGAAAUAUUUAAGAUACAUAAAAUUAAAAGGUAUAAAUCAUUAAUCGAGCCGAUUUAUGAUUUGUACGAGCAAAGUAAAAAUUACAAUUUUAAGAGAAAGUAAAGUUAC